GGCAUUGGCUUAUUGUGCGAAUGUUUCACCAUUUGCAGUGUCUCGAGCACAAAUAUCACACCAACUUUCUAUCAAUUUGAUGAGUCUUUCUAAGCAAGAAGAUGUUACCGAAGAUUCGCACUUCGGGAGAGCUGUGACAGAUCUUUUUCCCAAUGACGCAGUUAGUGUCGAGUAGGUGCUUAGGUUUCAGUGAUUUUAUCUUAGUAAGAAAACUUUUCUUAAGUAAGAGCCAGAACCUUGAAUUUUGUGUGUGCCCUGUCGCCGUCACUGACGUACCGCUCCAUGUCUUGGGAUAUCUGGAUCCGUAUCUAUCGCUGUAUCUCUAUCUGUGCCUGUUUAUGUGGAGGUGUUUCCGUCCUCUCUGUGUUUUAUGGCUACUUGUUGACUUUGGUCUUGCGAUUGCUGAGGCUGUCUGGAUCUCAAGUUUGUUAGCUUUUGCAUGAAUAAGUAUCAAUGGGACGAUAUGAAUAUGCGAGAGUAAGUGCAAUGGGCACUGGCACUUGGCACUUGGCAGUCCCUGCAUUUCCACAGACCUUCGUGGAGAUACCUGCAGGUGUCCAUUGUUUUUGUUAUUACCCGCUUAUCGGCUGGCGAUAUGUUCACCUACUCACACCUACAUAUACAUACAUACAUACAUGGAGUCUAUGGCGGCAGCUCGUAAGCCGCAAAUGUUUGCUCUACGAGUACGUGUCAUUCUGUCAGCGUGUGCGAGUGGUUGAGGCUUUACUGGCACUCGCAUUCGCUGGCAUUCCUCCUUUUCACAUUUUCUAGUCUAAUGCAUUAAGUCGAUUUCUCGCUCCAGUGGACUUGGUUGCUGCCACAAGCAGCCCUAAGGACUCCAGUCCUUGCACGCUCUUCCCGCCUGUCGCUUUGGCGCAGAUUUGGCUUAGCUUUUACACGCUCAAUGGAAUACUUUUGCUUUUCAAAACACUUUCGCUAUAUUCUCUCUUAAGCUCAAGCGAACCUUUGCAAAAACGGCCGGAUUACCCUCGUACGGAUGUGGACAGGGAGGGGAGUACCGUUUCUGUCCCUGUCCCAGGAUUGGGUUUGUGGCUUGCUGGUGAGUGGGAAGAACUAAACAAUCUGUAAUCAGUAUUUAAUUAACCGUUUUAAAGAAAUUCAAUCAAGAUGACUCCGACGAACCGUUUCGUUCCCCGGAGGUUAAUUAACUUUGCAACAGUGAAAACAAUGUUGUGAAGCCGGUUCAGUCAGCCGUCCCAGCCGGCCACCCCCACCACCGAGCGCCUGGAUCUCAGAGACUAUAAGAGCUAGGGCCACCCAAUUUUGCAUCCAGAUGGCUGUAUGCUCACACUGUUACAAGUGUAUUUUAAAAUUUCGCCCCAACUACUUCCGCCCCCCGCAAAUCGCAAAAAUCCGUUUUAUCCACAAUUUUAAAGAUAAAAGACGAGAAGGGACGUGUGAGACGCUUCUUACGCGUCACAACUUGUAUUCCCGGCACUCAGUACUACAUAUGCACCUUAGCGGUUAUUUUAAAUUUUUUCUUUAUCUUUCAUCUACAUCUACAACACUUCUCACACCAACACGCUUCUUUAGCUCGCCACCCUCCCCUAGAGCCACACACUGCAGAGUAGGGCAGAAACGCGGCAGAGACAGAGGCAGAGACUUGUCUGCGCGAAGCAAAGUGUGAAUGAGAGAAUGUAAAAAAAAAACAAAUAUAAGCUGCGGGACGGGGUGGGUUUAGCCAAUGCAAAUUAAUUUCUUCAUUGUGUCCAUAAUAAUGAUCCAAUCGGAUCCCAAAUUGGUGAUCUGAUAGAUAUGGUAAUUCCCUACGGAAUUCAAAGUAGCUUUGGGAGGUUUUCGCCCUUUUGGGGGGGCGGGGCUAUUUUUUUAAAUACACUGGUUUCAGUGUGAGCAUACAGCAGACCGGAGCCAAAAAUUUGGUGACUCUAGCUUUUAUAGUCUCUGAGAACUAGCCGACAAACAAGACGGA
RNAcentral lists this long non-coding RNA (1951 nucleotides) under Drosophila guanche. Lineage: Eukaryota; Metazoa; Arthropoda; Insecta; Diptera; Drosophilidae. The record is from RNAcentral.